Molecule: long non-coding RNA, 4313 nt
Filed under: Volvox carteri
Lineage: Eukaryota; Viridiplantae; Chlorophyta; Chlorophyceae; Chlamydomonadales; Volvocaceae
Description: long non-coding RNA (VCAR_LNC001167)
Source: RNAcentral
CAGAAAUUGCUGGCGUCGCCACAGUAACGUAGACCAAGCGCCCGAGUGCCAGAGACGUAACGCAGCACACCCAGAGCGAGCCCCAUGUGCGCUUUGGUGGGGGCGGACAUGUGCCGCGCCAGCAUGCUCAGAGCGUGUGCGAUGUCUGGGCGUGUGCUGGUAGCGAGGUAGUUUAGUUCUCCCACCAGCGCGCGGUAGCCACUGCUGUCCGUCAAUAUCGGCUGGGUGUCACUGGCUGGCAGAACCCGUGUACCCUGGGGUAGCGGGGUGGCACGUGGCUUGGCGUUCUCCAGGCUGUGGCGCUGAAGCAGCUGCUCCACGUAACACUGCUGCGUGAGCAUGAUGCUGCGGUUGCGGCGGUCCUGGACGAUCUCCAUGCCGAGGUAGUAGCGCGCCUCUCCAAGGUCUCGUACUGCGAAGCAACCAGCUAUGGCCGCCUUGGCGGCCGCAACCAACUGCGGGUUGUCCGCCGCCACCAGCAUGUCAUCAACGUGCACGAGCACAUCGAUUGAGCCAUCGGACCCCCGCUUGACGAAUAGCGCGGGGUCGGACGCAGACGGUUCAUAGCCUAGCUUGCCCAGCUCCGCUGCCAGCUUCUCGUACCAGCAACGUGGGGCUUGCUUGAGGCCGUAAACAGAGUUUGGUGGGUAGUCCCUUAAUCUCCCACUGUACCGGCAAGACUUUAUGCAGGCUUUUGAUCUGCAGCUCCACCUCGAUGGGGUCCUCGUUGGGGCACAGUUGCACCCCACUAACGCGAAUGCGUUCACCGUAGGCCUCGAACAAGUACGCCAAUCCACCUUUUGGCACCAAUAUGGAAAAGUCCAUCGCGAUGUUGCUCUCAGCCCCAGCUGCGUAUAAAAGCCGCUUCUCAAUGCGUGGGCCGCCCCACCAGUUGAACUCGGCAGAGCUGAAAUGCUGCCCCAGCGUCGACCGAAUAGCUGUUCCUAAUGGUCCAUGUAUCUAAGCCAUUAAGUCAUUGCGGUCGGACCUCGCGGGCCAAUGGACGACGAGGUCAAUGGUUUCCAACUCCAGCACCGAGCUGUAUUUGUGGCCGUCCAGCGUUACUACGUUAAAGGCGUUAAUCCGCUUUGGAGCUGCUUUUGCCCUGCCAGCGUUGGGAAGCUCUGUCGGUUUUCUCGCGCCGCCAUUUCCAAGCGUCCUCCUCGGCGCGGUAGUCCGCGGCCGUUUCCUCUGAGCCAUUCCGUUCGCCAUUUUUAUCCUGCCAUUUCUGAGAUGAAUAGGUUGGCAAUUAGUUUGGCAACUGCGGCCGUGUGCGGCCGAUGUCCAUGGUAGCAAUCAGGUUGCAGUCUUACGAUCAGGUCGUCAUUAUACACCCAUAAAUGUAUGUAUGUAUGUAUGCAUGCACCGUCCCGCCUUUCCCGCCCACUGCCUACAUCCCCCCCCCCCGNNNNNNNNNNNNNNNNNNNNNNNNNNNNNNNNNNNNNNNNNNNNNNNNNNNCCACCCACCAACCACCACCCACCGCCCACCUACCACCCACCGCCCACCGCACCCCCAGCAUCGUCAAGUUGUGGAAGGACGGACGGGUGAGUGGGUGAGUGAGUGAGUGGGUGGGACCCCCGGUGCCAUCAUUCGCAUCCCACCUUCCCGCCACUUCAGGGCAGCCCCACCACGAAGCCAACAUUCAGAGAGAGAGAGAGAGGCACACGGAGGGAAACACCGCUCACCGCGCCGCGCAAGUGGCCGCCGCCCUCAGCGCCCCCUCCGUGAACCGCACCCCGUGGUGCUGCUGGUAGCGGGGGGCCAGACCCCGCAGCCAGGACACCACCUCGGCCUCCCCGGGCUCCUCCACAAGCACACUCUGCGGGGCAGGGAGGGAGCGAGAGAAGGGGGGGGGGAGGGGAGGGCAUCAAGCGUACGUGUUGAAACCUUGGAUGCGUAAAAAUAGUCAAGCAGUCUAAGGGGGUCUAAGAAGCCAACUGUACGGCGGCGGCAUGCCGUAUCACCUGGAAGCGGCGUGCGAAUGCGGGGUCCGACUCCACGUGUUUGCGGUACUCGUCCAGGGUGGUGGCGCCAAUGCAGCGAAGCGACCCACGGGCCAGUGCGGGCUUGAGGAUGUUGGCGGCGUCCAGACCGCCCUCCGCACUUCCGGCACCCACUGAACGAACAUACAUACAUACAUACAUACAUACAUACAUACAUACAUACAUACAUACAUACAUACAUACAUACAUACAUACAUACAUACAUACAUACAUACAUACAUGUAUGGGUGUAUAAUGACGACCUGAUCGUUAGACUGCAACCUGAUUGCUACCAUGGACAUCGGCCGCACACGGCCGCAGUUGCCAAACUAAUUGCCAACCUAUUCAUCUCAGAAAUGGUAGGAUAGAAAUGGCGAACGGAAUGGCUCAGAGGAAACGGCCGCGGACUACCGCGCCGAGGACGCUUGGAAAUGGCGGCACGAGAAAACCGACAGAGCUUCCAAACGCUGGCAGAGCAAACGCAGCUCCAAAGCGGAUUAACGCCUUUAACGUAGUAACGCUGGACGGCCACAAAUACAGCUCGGUGCUGGAGUUGGAAACCAUUGACCUCGUCGUCCAUUGGCCAGCGAGGUCCGACCGGAAUGACUUAAUGGCUCAGAUAUAUGGACCAUUAGGAACAGCUAUUCGGUCGACGCUGGGGCAGCAUUUCAGCUCUACCGAGUUCACAUGGUGGGGCGGCCCACGCAUUGAGAAGCGGCUCUUAUACGCAGCUGGGGCUGAGAACAACAUCGCGAUGGAAUUUUCCAUAAUGGUGCCAAAAGGUGGAUUAGCGCAUUUGUUCGAAGCCUACGGUGAACGCAUUCGCGUUAGUGGGGUGCAACUAUGCCCCAACGAGGACCCCAUCGAGGUGGAGCUGCAGAUCAAAAAUUGGCAUAAAGUCUUGCCGGUACAGUGGGAGAUUAAGGGAGUCCCCACCAAACUCAGCGUCCACGGGGUCGCUGAGUUCCUCGCCAGGGCAUACAGCACCAGCCAUCAGCCCCGCACAGCGACGGAAUUUAUCUACCUGAUCCCCACGGCCAUGGCCGACACCUGGCAGCUCACCCUGCCCCGGGAUCACCGGGGCUUGCCAUGUGAGAUGCCUUAUGAGUACUACGGGUGGUUGGGCGAGCAGCACCAGGUCGGCUGUUUAAAGGCCGCCAAGCUGUCACCCAACCUCGAGGUGAACCCCUACCUUAUGCCCCGCUGUCCACCACCCCGGGAGGAGCUUCGCAAGCAGCAGCGGAGGCAACGAGAGGCGGCGGGGCACCACACCCAGCAAACCCGCCCAGCAGACCCUUCACCGCCAAUGCCACCCAUGGCAGCAUUCAGCGGCCCCACCCGCCCGGCAACCUACCCUGGCCCCCCGGGACAGACCGUGGAGCCGCAGGUGUCAGGGUUACAGGCGGCGGCAACUGAGGGAAAUGCAGCGGAGAUGGUUUACCCCCCGGGCCCCCCCCCCACCUCCAAUGCCAAUGCCACUUCGGGCCCCAAGGGAACACAGCGGCGGCAGAGGAACCGGAGGCAGCGGUAAUAUUGACAACCCCUCGAGCAGUGGGGGACCGCGAAGCAGUACCCCUGCUUGCAUCACCGUCCUGAACAACGGGAGCGUCCAAGGCGACAGCUGCAGGGGUACGGAGCCCACUGGCAGCAGGGCCGAGGCCUACAAUGGUGGACCAGCUUUGCCAACUGGACCCGGUAGCAGCAGAGUCAGGUAGGGGUUUACCUCGAGGUUGGGUGACAGCUUGGCGGCCUUUAAACAGCCGACCUGGUGCUGCUCGCCCAACCACCCGACCACCCGUAGUACUCAUACGGCAUCUCACAUGGCAAGCCCCGGUGAUCACGGGGCAGGGUGAGCUGCCAGGUGUCGGCCAUGGCCGUGGGGAUCAGGUAGAGAAAUUCCGUCGCUGUGCGAGGCUGAUGGCUGGUGCUGUAGGCCCUGGCGAGGAACUCAGCGACCCCGUGGACGCUGAGUUCACAGAAAUUGCUGGCGUCGCCACAGUAACGUAGACCAAGCGCCCGAGUGCCAGAGACGUAACGCAGCACACCCAGAGCGAGCCCCAUGUGCGCUUUGGUGGGGGCGGACAUGUGCCGCGCCAGCAUGCUCAGAGCGUGUGCGAUGUCUGGGCGUGUGCUGGUAGCGAGGUAGUUUAGUUCUCCCACCAGCGCGCGGUAGCCACUGCUGUCCGUCAAUAUCGGCUGGGUGUCACUGGCUGGCAGAACCCGUGUACCCUGGGGUAGCGGGGUGGCACGUGGCUUGGCGUUCUCCAGGCUGUGGCGCUGAAGCAGCUGCUCCACGUAACACUGCUGCGUGAGCAUGAUGCUGCGGUUGC